RNAcentral lists this unclassified non-coding RNA (231 nucleotides) under uncultured Basidiomycota. RNAcentral's name for it is "sequence contains ITS1". Lineage: Eukaryota; Fungi; Basidiomycota. The record is from RNAcentral.
UUGAAUAAACUUGGUUGGGUUGAUGCUGGCUCCUCGGAGCAUGUGCACGCUCAUUCCACUUUUAACCACCUGUGCACCUUGUGUAGAUCUGAACAACUCUCGGGGUAACUCGGUUAGAGGAUUGCUGUGUGUAAAAGCCAGCUUUCCUUGCGUUCAGAUCUAUGUCUUUAUAUACCCCAUAGAAUGUAACGGAAUGUAAUUGAUAGGCGUUACUGCCUUUAAAAUCAAAUA